AACGCAAUCUAUAUCAAUAAACACAACCUGACCUGUAUGUGCAACUGCCCUACAUAAGCAGCACUUCCCCAGAGACUCUCUCCUCGCCUCCUAUCUCUGAACUAUCCUGCUAACGUUCUGGAGCCAUUUUAUAGGCCCGACUCCUCCUACUCCAGAACAUACCAUAUGAAAGCUAUGAGAAUGGACUCUCCGGUGACAUCACUCACAGGAACAAGAUGGCGGACACAAAGACCUAUAAAUAGACCGGAUGUCUAACUGAACAGGUUUGGCAAAUGACU
Long non-coding RNA from Cyprinus carpio (common carp), 278 nucleotides. NCBI's taxonomy places the organism in Eukaryota, Metazoa, Chordata, Actinopteri, Cypriniformes, Cyprinidae. The record is from Ensembl.